RNAcentral lists this ribosomal RNA (324 nucleotides) under uncultured eukaryote. RNAcentral's name for it is "partial 18S ribosomal RNA". It matches the Rfam family "Eukaryotic small subunit ribosomal RNA", at positions 1470 to 1796 of the family's 1831-position model. The record is from RNAcentral.
CCCUUAGAUGUCCUGGGCUGCACGCGCGCUACACUGAUGUGUCCAGUAAGCACCUAACCUCUUCCGAAAGGAACGGGUAACCUUUGCAAAGCACAUCGUGAUGGGGAUAGAUUAUUGCAAUUAUUAGUCUUGAACGAGGAAUUCCUAGUAAGCACAAGUCAUCAGCUUGUGUUGAUUACGUCCCUGCCCUUUGUACACGCCGCCCGUCGCUCCUACCGAUUGAAUGUUCCGGUGAGCUCUUCGGACUGCGCGGUCUGCAGUUUCUGCGUUCCGUGCGGAAAGUUGCGCAAACCUUAACAUUUAGAGGAAGGAGAAGUCGUAACA